RNAcentral lists this microRNA precursor (54 nucleotides) under Magallana gigas (Pacific oyster). Its description in RNAcentral is "Mgi-Mir-137_pre stem-loop". The record is from RNAcentral. Lineage: Eukaryota; Metazoa; Mollusca; Bivalvia; Ostreida; Ostreidae.
GAGUAUUCUUGGGUAAAUAUCACUUUAAAGCUGUUAUUGCUUGAGAAUACACGU